RNAcentral lists this ribosomal RNA (454 nucleotides) under uncultured bacterium. RNAcentral describes it as "partial 16S ribosomal RNA". It matches the Rfam family "Bacterial small subunit ribosomal RNA", at positions 28 to 507 of the family's 1533-position model. The record is from RNAcentral.
GAUGAACGCUGACAGAAUGCUUAACACAUGCAAGUCUACUUGAACUUCGGUUUGGGUGGCGGACGGGUGAGUAACGCGUAAAGAACUUACCUCACAGUUAGGGACAACAUUUGGAAACGAAUGCUAAUACCUGAUAUUAUGAUUUUAGGGCAUCCUAAGAUUAUGAAAGCUAUAUGCGCUGUGAGAGAGCUUUGCGUCCCAUUAGCUAGUUGGAGAGGUAACGGCUCACCAAGGCGAUGAUGGGUAGCCGGCCUGAGAGGGUGAACGGCCACAAGGGGACUGAGACGCGGCCCUUACUCCUACGGGAGGCAGCAGUGGGGAAUAUUGGACAAUGGACCAAAAGUCUGAUCCAGCAAUUCUGUGUGCACGAUGACGUUUUUCGGAAUGUAAAGUGCUUUCAGUUGGGAAGAAAAAAAUGACGGUACCAACAGAAGAAGUGACGGCUAAAUACGUG